This 253-nucleotide ribosomal RNA is filed under the name uncultured bacterium. RNAcentral's name for it is "partial 16S ribosomal RNA". It matches the Rfam family "Bacterial small subunit ribosomal RNA", at positions 524 to 776 of the family's 1533-position model. The record is from RNAcentral.
UACGUAGGGGGCGAGCGUUGUCCGGAUUUAUUGGGCGUAAAGAGCGUGUAGGCGGCCAGGUAGGUCUGCUGUGAAAACUCGAGGCUCAACUUCGAGACGUCGGCGGAAACCAUCUGGCUAGAGUCCGGAAGAGGAGAGUGGAAUUCCUGGUGUAGCGGUGAAAUGCGCAGAUAUCAGGAAGAACACCCGUGGCGAAGGCGGCUCUCUGGGACGGUACUGACGCUGAGACGCGAAAGCGUGGGGAGCGAACAGG